RNAcentral lists this unclassified non-coding RNA (370 nucleotides) under uncultured Flavobacteriaceae bacterium. Its description in RNAcentral is "contains 16S-23S intergenic spacer region". The record is from RNAcentral. Lineage: Bacteria; Pseudomonadati; Bacteroidota; Flavobacteriia; Flavobacteriales; Flavobacteriaceae.
UCACAGUUUGCACUGGCAGUCUUGCUAGAGUUCCCGACUUGACUCGCUGGCAACUAACAACAGGGGUUGCGCUCGUUAUAGGACUUAACCUGACACCUCACGGCACGAGCUGACGACAACCAUGCAGCACCUUGUAAGUGGUCCGAAGAAAUAGCUAUCUCCAGCUAAUGCAACUUACAUUUAAGCCCUGGUAAGGUUCCUCGCGUAUCAUCGAAUUAAACCACAUGCUCCACCGCUUGUGCGGGCCCCCGUCAAUUCCUUUGAGUUUCAGGCUUGCGCCCGUACUCCCCAGGUGGGAUACUUAUCACUUUCGCUUAGCCACUCAGGUAAACCCGAACAGCUAGUAUCCAUCGUUUACGGCGUGGACUAC